GAUGAACGCUGGCGGCGUGCCUAAUACAUGCAAGUCGAGCGAACAGACGAGGAGCUUGCUCCUCUGACGUUAGCGGCGGACGGGUGAGUAACACGUGGAUAACCUACCUAUAAGACUGGGAUAACUUCGGGAAACCGGAGCUAAUACCGGAUAAUAUAUUGAACCGCAUGGUUCAAUAGUGAAAGACGGUUUUGCUGUCACUUAUAGAUGGAUCCGCGCCGCAUUAGCUAGUUGGUAAGGUAACGGCUUACCAAGGCAACGAUGCGUAGCCGACCUGAGAGGGUGAUCGGCCACACUGGAACGGAGACACGGUCCAGACUACUACGGGAGGCAGCAGUAGGGAAUCUUCCGCAAUGGGCGAAAGCUUGACGGAGCAACGCCGCGUGAGUGAUGAAGGUCUUCGGAUCGUAAAACUCUGUUAUUAGGGAAGAACAAAUGUGUAAGUAACUAUACACGUCUUGACGGUACCUAAUCAGAAAGCCACGGCUAACUACGUG
This 497-nucleotide ribosomal RNA is filed under the name uncultured bacterium. RNAcentral's name for it is "partial 16S ribosomal RNA". It matches the Rfam family "Bacterial small subunit ribosomal RNA", at positions 28 to 507 of the family's 1533-position model. The record is from RNAcentral.